RNAcentral lists this long non-coding RNA (1759 nucleotides) under Trifolium pratense (red clover). Its description in RNAcentral is "long non-coding RNA (TPRA_LNC010646)". Lineage: Eukaryota; Viridiplantae; Streptophyta; Magnoliopsida; Fabales; Fabaceae. The record is from RNAcentral.
AACAUUAGGGAGCUUUUCCAACAUAUUUUCCCCGGUUCUAGCAAUGCGACCCCAGUAAACCUUAGGAUACUCCUUUCUCUGAAUUGCUUGAACGACCACCUUAGAAUCCAUUUCAAUGAUGAAUGUUCGAAGCUUUUUCUCCCGCUGAAGCUUGUAUUCGUUCAAAUUAGCGCUGGCGUGAUCAACGACAACCAAAACAGGUAUGUCUUUGUCUUGAAAUACUAAGCAAUUUAUGGCCGUCCAUAUAUGAUAGCAGAUAGAGCUUAUUAGCUCCACACCCUCUUUAUUUUUUUUCGGAAGCAUCCCCUGGAACCAGUCUUUAAAACUUUGAUUUCUGCAAAAAGAAUUGUUAAACUUUAUCGUUAGCGGGGAUGCGAACCACACCUGUUUUGCCCAACCAUAAUCUUGAAAUACAUGGUUAAUAUCCUCUAGUUUGGCGUUUCACCGGGGACAUACCGGGGACANNNNNNNNNNNNNNNNNNNNNNNNNNNCGUUUCCACAAUUUCACAUUUCAUCGUUUUUACAAUUUCCUCUCGCGAUCUUUUUUGUUGAUAUUUUACAAUUUCAUCAUUUUUACAAUUUAACUUGUUGAAUAUGAUUUUUUUGUGUAUUUUGUGUGUAGCAAUAGAAUCUGGAAGAGGGCACUAAGGUGCUGGUUCCUAACUCUGAUGUGGUUGUUGAAGGUCCUCAACCUAUGGAAGGUAAUUUGAUUUUUUGGAACUAAUGUAAUGCUUGUUAUAACCACUAAUAACAAAAACAGAGUUAAAUUUUCAAAAUAGAAAACAAAAGUAGAGUUAAAUACUUAGUAUUCCAUGUAACAACUUUGUCUAAUAUGCAUAAACGAGACAAGUUUUUCACUAGGUAUAAUAUAUUACUCCCUCCGUCCCAAAUUAUAAGGGAAAAAAAGUCUAUUUUAUUUGUCUCAAAUUAUAAGGGAGAAAAUCAUUUUUAAGAAUGUUUUUCUCUUAUUCUCAUAAAAUUAAAUGCAAAUUGCAUUUAAUUUUCUCAAUAAACAACAACCAAUAAAAAUUGUUUUUACAUCUUCUUAUGCAACUUAUUCCAAGGAAAACCCACAAAAACAUAUUUCAAAUUUUCAUGUUUUACUUUUUCUUAAUAAGUGUGAUUUUUUUAUUUUCUCUUAUAAUUCGGGACGGAGGGAGUACAUCGCGCAUCUCAUUUGAUUCAAUGUAAGACUUAUUGAUUCAUUGGUGAAAACAAUCUUAUGCAUAUGCAUGAUGAAAAUGUACAUCAUAUAUUUGGCCAAUAAAGACCUAUAACAUAACAUGAGAAAAAUACAAAUUUAAGAUUCCCUUUCAUCAAAGAUAAACCAUAGAUAUUCAUCAACUCAGCAUUACACAUAUCACUCGAGUUCUCUAUCACGAAUUUGAAUUGAAGCAUUUCAAUCACUUGACUCGUAUAGUUGUUCUUAUAUCUCUAUCUUCCUCAGCAUUACACAAUGCAAAAUCCAUUCCAAACAUUCUUCGUGUAGAUAAGCUAGAACUCUAGAUGUUCCUAAAGCAAUAUCAUAACUUUUACUCCAAUCAAGUUCAGCUAAAGAACCAUUUUCCAUGUACUCAUAUACCAAAAGUCUAUGUAAGUUUUAAACUUUCUGCAAUUUUAAACAUUUUUUUGGUUAGUUUCACAACUGUAGUUUGAUUAAUCCAAGAAGGGUUUUUUUUUUUCCAGUGUUGUUGAUUUUAUGGUUAAUGUUAUUAUUUUAUUGUGACACAAUUGUAGGUGUUGUUGUCGAGAUAUUGGU